AAUUUAUGAGUUCAGUUCUUUGGGCUCAAGGGAUAAGCCUACCCAUACACGCUGAGUCAGCAAGAUGAGGGUGUGGGAGUUGGUUGCAGUGGGGGGACCUGGUGGACAUUCAGAAGUAGAUUUCCACCUCAUUCACCUUGUCCCCAGAUUGUACCCUCACUGUACCAUCUCCCUUGUACCACACACACACACAGAGUCACAUGCCCCUUUUAAGCCUUUUCAUUACCUGCUCCCCACUCCUCAUGGUGGGGGGCUUGCUUCUUCAGAUCCUGACGUGGGUGUCUCUACAAAUACAAUGCCGAUAAGGACAUCUAGGAUAAGUUAUAGCCUUAUCUUGCUAGAAGAGUGCUUCUCUCCAAACUUGAGAUACUAUGCAAAAGCCUUCUCUGCAUCCCUCAGCCCCAGGAGCCCCCAGGUUCCAGAAAAAGGAAACUUGGCUGGCUAGGAAAGCUUUUGAGGUUAAUCACUGUUAAGUGGUCUGUCCACUUAAAGAGGUGGAGCCGCUCAUUCCAGAAGCUAAGGAGGAGGAAGGCAGGAAGGCAGUUAGGAGGUAGGAGGAAAGCAGGAAGUGAGAGAGAAGGAGAGAGGGAAAGAAAUGAAGGAAGGGAAAUGAAGGAGAAGGCAAGGCAACACCCCUUUCUGCCCCUCUAUGUCACAGGCUGUUUUAUAGGGUAGCCUGAGGCACAUAAGCUCCUCUCAGGACUUUUGCCUUUGCUGUUCCUUAACCUCAGAAUGCUCUUCCACCAGGCUGUGUGGCUGAAUCCCUUGUUCCCUUUAGCCUGUGCCGGAAGGUCACCUUGCUCAAAGACAUUUCCCAAGAGCCUCUGACCCCUUAUCCUGCUUUAUUCUUCAUCUGCAGACUCCUCACUACCUGCUGCAUUCUGUAGUUAUCUGCUUAUUGUCUAUGGUUCCUGUACUAAGAUGCCAGCUCAGUGUAAGCACAGUUUGGUUUAGUGCUGUCCCCAGAACAGUUUCUGGCAACAUCACAGCAGCUCUGUAAGUGCUUGUUGAACAAAAAGUAGAGAUACAGGCUUCUGUGGAACUUUACCGCUGUCUCUAGGAAUCCCUUUAUUAGUUUAAAGCGCAUAAGAUGGGGACUGAGGUAUUAGGGCUCUGAUGUGUGGUCUUCAGCUAAAAUAAUAAACAACAGAACUAAGCUAGGCACUCCUUGCUUUGUGGACCCCCAGGUGCUUCCUGGCAGAUACAUUUCCUUCUGAUUGUCAUUAAUGAGGGAGAAGGCAUAUUGCCUGGAGUGGGAAUGAUCAAGGGCUAAUCUUUCAGACACUGCAAGCCUUUUGGGAAUACUAAGUAAAUGUAUAUAAAGCAAAGCAACUGGAGACCCUGUUCUUUGGGCCCCAUCCCUUAUAGUUCAUCUCCAGGUAAGUGGAGGUCUUGGUUGGACUGGUGGGCAAAGCACUUCAAGUUUCUGCAAUAACGUGGACAGAAAAACAUCUGCUUUGAAAUCCCAGAAUAAAGAAUAGAUGACCCAAGAUCAGACAAAGGGGAGUCCGCAUGUGAGAGAGUCAAUUAAUUUGAAUGGAACAUCCCACUUGGGGUUUGGUUUCAUCUGCAAAACGCCUUGUUUGUUCCAUUCAUUGUGAUUCCCCCUGACUGCUGCAGGGAACUUGCAUUUUAUUCAAAGUAAAUAUUCCAGUAGAUGUAAUCCAAGCAGAACACAUGAACACUAUAGAGAUGAGAUCUGAUGCGUUUCUCCCACGCUGGGAUUUGACAUUUUAUGGUGGAGGAGGAGGGUUGGGAAGGUGGAAUUGUGCUUUUGAAAUGAGCACUCUCUUGUCUCUAAAUUGAUUUUUAAUGUGUCUCCACCUCCAGCCCCAUCAGUUGUCUCAGGCUGAAAAAUAAAAAUUUUCCUUCCAAGUAGUCUCCCCACUCCACCACCUAAUAUAGAAAUUUUGGUAUUUUUCUAGCUGUUUGUAUCUUUUUUGCAUUUUAUUUUCACACUUGGAUAUGCUCCUUUCUCAUUUCAUUAACCUGCAAGAUUUUCAUGUCUUUUCCUUAAACUUAAUGGACAUCUAAGGGAGAUUUGGCAGCUGUGAUGUGCUCCCUGUCAAGAAAGUCAUGUCUAAGACAGAGGGGUCAUUCAAAUCAAAGACAAGCUGAAUAGCUGGUAGAGAAGGUCAAUGGCUUUAGAAUGGCUUAAUAUUUUAUUUUAUUUUUUAAAAUUUACCCUUCCCAUAGGGUCAAGUAGAAAAGGUCAUCCUGCUGUGCAAAUCCAGAGCAUCCUCUUUGUGCAAAACCGUUGACCGCAGGACUGAAAUAUUUCUGUCAUUGUUUCCACCUGAGGUUUGAGUCAGAACCCUUUUCUGAACACCUGCUCUAUGCCCAGGGCUCUGCUGUGCAGUAGGGACAGGGGCUCAGAGGAAGGAAAGAUAUGACAUAAUCCUUUGGCAUUCCCAAGUGGCCUCUGUACCAGAGACUGCUCAUGAAUGCCCUAGAAUAUGUGUUCCUAGCUCAGUCUUGUGCCCUCCAGGCUGCUCUCCCCACAGCAGUCCAAGGGGCCUUCCAAAAACAGUCAGAUGGGGCCAGGGUGAGGGGAACAUUAUCCUGCUUGAAACCCUCCGUUGUCUCCUACUGUGUAACACAGGAUAAAAUCCAACAUUUCUAGUAUGACUUACCCCUACCUUCCUCUCCAGCCCCAUCCCUCACCUCUCAUUUAGAGCACCAACUGUAAGCAACAUUCCUCCUUCCUCCAACACACCUGUCCCCUUGCUCUCAGACUCUCCAACCUUCUCUCGGCCUUUGCAUAUGCCCUUUCUUCUGCCUCACACUCCUAACUUACUCCUUCCUUGCCCUUUGUCACCUGAGAAACUGUUCAUUGUUCCUUCUUCAGACCAGGUUAGGUCAGCUUCUAUGUGUUCCACACAAGAAUCUUCAACUCAGUAGUUCGCAUUGUGGCUCAGUGGAAAUAUAUCUGACUAGCAUUCAUGAGGAUGCCGGUUCAAUCCCUGGCCUCGAUCAGUGGGUUAAGGAUCCAUCGUUGCCGUGAGCUGUGGUAUGUGGCUUGGAUCCCACGUUCCUGUGGCUGUGGCUGGCAGCUACAGCUCUGAUUUGACCCCUAGCCUGGGAACUUCCAUAUGCUGCAG
This 3101-nucleotide long non-coding RNA is filed under the name Sus scrofa (pig). Its description in RNAcentral is "lncRNA (ENSSSCG00000057508.1)". Lineage: Eukaryota; Metazoa; Chordata; Mammalia; Artiodactyla; Suidae. The record is from RNAcentral.